ACCCCUGUAGCUCAGCAGGACAGAGCGUCGCACUACGAAUGCGAAGGCCCCAGGUUCGAGUCCUGGUAGGGGUA
Molecule: transfer RNA, 74 nt
Filed under: Amycolatopsis sp. TNS106
Lineage: Bacteria; Bacillati; Actinomycetota; Actinomycetes; Pseudonocardiales; Pseudonocardiaceae
Description: tRNA-Arg
Rfam family: tRNA
About the family: Transfer RNA (tRNA) molecules are approximately 80 nucleotides in length.
Source: RNAcentral